CUGAGGUUUUUUGCUGCGGGGAAGUAUAGAAAUAAAAAUGAGAGAGGGUGUGUAAAUGACAGUUUUCGACUUACCUUGCUGAAUGGGUUGGUUGCUGGAAGUCAGGGCUAUGGGGAGAGCUCUAAGCAGCCAGCUGGAGGACAGGCAUCGCUUAUGACAAAAGAGCUGGAUUUGGAGGUGCCUAGCAGGAAGUUUUCCAAAGAGAUAGCAGAGCUCCAGGGGACCGUGAGUGAGCUGUGGACAUCUGCCAUGCCACAGGGCACCAAUGCCCUUUUACAAUCCCUCCACUCAAGUUAAUAGAAAACUUAACUCAAUCUGGAUGAAACAAGUGGAAUUUGUUGCCUCUUAGCCAAUAAAAUGGAAGUCCAAAGGUAUUUAUGGAGCAUUGUUUUAUGGUGAUGAAUAGGACAGGGAAAGCCUCUGUUUUCAUGGUGCUCAUACGUUCAAGGAAGAGAGUCACCAAAAUCUGAUAAAUAAGAAACUAACUAACUGUGAGAAUAUCACGUAAUGAAAGUACUAUUAGAAAAUGAAACAAGGUGUGAAGGUGAGGAUGAAGGGGAGAGUGAAUGAAGGCCACGUUCAAUGGAAUGCUCAGGAAGGUCUUUUGGGGGAG
RNAcentral lists this long non-coding RNA (613 nucleotides) under Equus caballus (horse). RNAcentral describes it as "lncRNA (ENSECAG00000042644.2)". Lineage: Eukaryota; Metazoa; Chordata; Mammalia; Perissodactyla; Equidae. The record is from RNAcentral.